GAUGAAGAACGUAGCGAAAUGCGAUAAGUAAUGUGAAUUGCAGAAUUCAGUGAAUCAUCGAAUCUUUGAACGCACAUUGCGCCCCCUGGAAUUCCGGGGGGCAUGCCUGUUCGAGCGUCAUUGCUGCCCUCAAGCACGGCUUGUGUGUUGGGCCUCCGUCCUCCUCCCGGGGGACGGGCCCGAAAGGCAGCGGCGGCACCGCGUCCGGUCCUCGAGCGUAUGGGGCUUCGUCACCCGCUCUUGUAGGCCCGGCCGGCGCUUGCCGACACAUCAAUCUUUUUUCCAGGUUGACCUCGGAUCAGGUAGGGAUACCCGCUGAACUUAAGCAUAUCAAUAAGCGGAGGA
This 345-nucleotide unclassified non-coding RNA is filed under the name soil metagenome. RNAcentral's name for it is "partial contains 5.8S ribosomal RNA, internal transcribed spacer 2, and large subunit ribosomal RNA". The stretch from base 1 to 120 matches the Rfam family "5.8S ribosomal RNA", at positions 35 to 154 of the family's 154-position model. The record is from RNAcentral.